CCUGUAGAAUGGGAUAGGUGAUAUUGCCUUGCUUAUUGGAAUGUUGGAAAGAUAAAAGGAGAUAAUAAAUGUGAGAAAAUUGGCACAGUUGCCUGGCACACAGCAAAUGUCCAAUGAUUCUUGGAUUUGCUGGUUUUAUGGUAUUUCCUGGAACUGUGUACAUCUCAAUAGGAUAUUGACUACACAGGAGGAAAUAUAUUGGAAUGGCUUUGCUGGUGAGAGACACGUCCUGGAGAAAGGGAACAGGUCCGCCUGCUGAGAGUCUGAGUGAUAUCCGAAGAAGUAUCAGCACCCUGGGGUUGGCGUUUUUACUAAGAAGGUCAUCACAUAUUAAUAUUCUCACACUUACCCAGAAGGACACGGGUGCCAGAUGCUGCCUGAUGCACAGGCCGGUCCCCUCGAGACGUCUGUGGCAAGGUAUGAGGAGGGAAAGCCGGGAGGGGAGUCAGACAGGUAAUGAGCAUGUCAGCUGCCUCUGCGGCUGGACACCCAGGGUGAAGGGAGAACUAGCAAUGAGCCAUGUUUAGGAAGAUGAGACAGAAGCCUUCCUCUCCUCCUACUCUAAGGGAGCAGGACAGAGGCCAAUUAUGUAUCACAUUACCAUUCCUUAACAAUCAAGAGUUGUCAGACCAAGCCU
This 637-nucleotide long non-coding RNA is filed under the name Rattus norvegicus (Norway rat). Its description in RNAcentral is "long non-coding RNA NONRATT005202". The record is from RNAcentral. Lineage: Eukaryota; Metazoa; Chordata; Mammalia; Rodentia; Muridae.